CGGGGGGGGCAAGCGUUGUUCGGAAUUACUGGGCGUAAAGGGCGCGUAGGCGGCCUGCUAAGUCACACGUGAAAUCCCUCGGCUCAACCGGGGAACUGCGUGUGAUACUGGCGGGCUUGAAUUCGGGAGAGGGAUGUGGAAUUCCAGGUGUAGCGGUGAAAUGCGUAGAUAUCUGGAGGAACACCGGUGGCGAAGGCGGCAUCCUGGACCGAGAUUGACGCUGAGGCGCGAAAGCUAGGGGAGCAAACGGGAUUAGAUACCCCGGUAGUCCUAGCCCUAAACGAUGAGUGCUUGGUGUGGCGGGUAUCGAUCCCUGCCGUGCCGAAGCUAACGCAUUAAGCACUCCGCCUGGGGAGUACGGUCGCAAGGCUG
This 372-nucleotide ribosomal RNA is filed under the name uncultured organism. RNAcentral's name for it is "bacterial SSU rRNA". It matches the Rfam family "Bacterial small subunit ribosomal RNA", at positions 526 to 896 of the family's 1533-position model. The record is from RNAcentral.